GUCUCCUUGUCCAGCUGGGCCAGGUGGGCAUCUCUGUAACUAUUAAGAUUCCUAAUUCUGUUUUUCUCUUCUCUAGCUUGGCUUGACCCCCUGGGAUUGACAUUACAUCAGACUUUCUAAUAAAACUCCACUCCUUUUUCCUAGAUAAACAGACUUCUGGCAUUUUCAUGCAUGAUUCAUAACUUUAUGUAAAUGCUCUGGCAAGCUGGAUGAAUGGACAUGAUCCAAUAAAGAUAUUGAGCCUGGUAAGUUCUUAAAGCUGUGCUCGAAUGGGAGGUGGCUGACACCAGGCAGGGGAUGCUCACUAGCAUCUUGAUAGUCUAGGGAUGAAGGCUAAACCACUGGAAGAGAAGAGAAAGAUAAGAGGUGGCUAGUUGGCAGUGAAGAGAUAGUAGAGUUUGGGGAGGUGGAGGUAUCAGGUGGUGGUGAGGGGUUUUGACAGAUGAGAGACUACAGGUGAAACUUUCAUCAGGGUCUGGAGCUUCCUGAAGACAAAGGCUAUUGGGGCCAACUGGGAUUUACUGAGCUUUAGCUAAUCCUGGGCUUGGAGAUACUCGGAUUACCUGUCUGGCCUAUUUGUUUGUGUGUUAUACAGAGAAUAAAACGCAGUAAAAGAGUGUUGAGAGCACAGAACUCCUCUGAAGUGGAAGGAUCCUUCUCACAGGAUGAAACCAUGUCUCACAUACUCCAGUAUUCUCAAAAGCCUAAUAUAGAACUGAGCAUGUACCAGAGCCUCAAUAUAUCUUUAUUUUUGUAAAUUAAAAAUUUAUACCGAUAUAUAAUGCAUAAGUGUGCCUUUUUUUUUUUCUUUUGCCUUUUCUAGAGCUGCUCCGCGGCACAUGGAGGUUCCCAGGCUAGGGGUCUAAUUGGAGCUGUAACCGCCGGCCUAUGCCACAGCCACAGCAACGCAGUAUCCGAGCCACGUCUGCAACCUAC
RNAcentral lists this long non-coding RNA (936 nucleotides) under Sus scrofa (pig). RNAcentral's name for it is "lncRNA (ENSSSCG00055003180.1)". Lineage: Eukaryota; Metazoa; Chordata; Mammalia; Artiodactyla; Suidae. The record is from RNAcentral.